Scophthalmus maximus (turbot) is the source of this 951-nucleotide long non-coding RNA. RefSeq lists it as uncharacterized. The record is from RefSeq and is a predicted model, not a curated record. The transcript is spliced from 6 exons. NCBI's taxonomy places the organism in Eukaryota, Metazoa, Chordata, Actinopteri, Pleuronectiformes, Scophthalmidae.
CUCAUGAUUGAUUGUUGUCCUCUGCAUCGGUUCCUGUGAACGUGUCACACCUGACGAAGCCGCACGAGCUGCAGAGCUGCUGAGACGAACCGUUCCCUGUCCACACCGUCCCCCCGACGACGACCCCACGAGUGAUCAGUCACGCACCCACUGUCCCGUAAUGGCUGCUCUGGACUGGGCCCCGGCCAUGUCUUCUGUACCUCUACUUUCUACAAAUUGGUCUCCGCUGCGAUGUCGGCGUCGCCAAAGCUAAACGAGGAAUCAUCGCGGCAGAUUCCGGGACAGCGUGUGAUUUAAGAGGAAUUUGGAGCUAGACGUGUCCCUGACCCUGGUUUAUCUGUGGUUACAAAACGCCCAUCUGGCAACACUAACUCUGCACAAGGAGCGCGGAUGACAGCACCACAGCAGAUGGCACUAUUGAGUGAGGAAACAUCCGCUGACGGGGGAGGAGAAGUGGCAGUAAAGAUACAGGAGGGGCGAAUGGCAGCAUGGCAGGAUGCCCGCGGAAAAUCUGGCAGGGUUUAUAAUGGGAGUGCAGUUUCCCUCGAUGGUGUUUGCGGCCGUCAGACAAGAUGGACUGCGCCGGAGGACGGCAGCUGCAGCAGGAGACAGAUGUGUCCCGGGAAAGAUGUCAGCACAGGAUGUGUGACAGCCUGGCCAUUAUGUCACUGUGUCACAGCAAGGUGAAACCAUUCUGCAGCUGAGACCAAAACCCCGAUCCACAGUUUCUUAUGGUGAUGCUAGGACGACAAACUACAAUACUUUAACCUGCUGCCACAGCCGCAGGUGUAGCCUGUUGAUGUCUCAUUGCAAAAUUUGUUUUUCAUUUCACAAUUAACACAUGAAUGUUUGAAAUUUAUUUUUAAAGUUAAGGCAAUCUGAUGUAUAUGUUGUAAACGAUGCUAAAUAAUACGCCUGUUUUAUGUCUUUGUGUCAUGCGGCUAUGUUGGA